RNAcentral lists this transfer RNA (73 nucleotides) under Opisthorchis viverrini. It matches the Rfam family "tRNA". From Rfam's summary of the family: Transfer RNA (tRNA) molecules are approximately 80 nucleotides in length. The record is from Rfam by way of RNAcentral. Lineage: Eukaryota; Metazoa; Platyhelminthes; Trematoda; Opisthorchiida; Opisthorchiidae.
GCCCUCGUAGCUCAGUGGUUAGAGCACUGGUCUCGUAAACCAGGGGUCGAGAGUUCGAUUCCCUUCGGGGGCA